RNAcentral lists this ribosomal RNA (789 nucleotides) under uncultured Neocallimastigales. RNAcentral's name for it is "partial large subunit ribosomal RNA". It matches the Rfam family "Eukaryotic large subunit ribosomal RNA", at positions 26 to 634 of the family's 3401-position model. The record is from RNAcentral. Lineage: Eukaryota; Fungi; Neocallimastigomycota; Neocallimastigomycetes; Neocallimastigales.
CGCAUCUGUGCAUGCAGCAUAUCAAUAAGCGGAGGAAAAGAAACUAACAAGGAUUCCCUUAGUAACGGCGAGUGAAGCGGGAAGAGCUCAAAUUUGAAAUCUUCAAGGUUUUACCUUGACGAAUUGUAGUUUAAAGAAGUGUUUUCUGUUGAAGUUUUGGUAAAAGUUCUUUGGAAUAGGACAUCAUAGAGGGUGAGAAUCCCGUAUUUGACCAUUAUUUUCAGCUGUGUGAUACACUUUCAAAGAGUCGGAUUGUUUGGGAAUGCAGUCCAAGAUGGGUGGUAAAUUUCAUCUAAAGCUAAAUAUUGGCGAGAGACCGAUAGCGAACAGGUACCGUGAGGGAAAGAUGAAAAGAACUUUGAAAAGAGAGUUAAACAGUACGUGAAAUUGUCAAAAGGGAAGCGUUUGACACCAGUGUUGUUUUCUCGAAAAUCAAUUAAAAAGAGUCAGGAUUUUGUGUUGUAUUGACCUUUAUACAGCUUUCUGCACUUCAAUUUUCUUGUCUUUUUUUAAUGCACUUUUCGUUUAACAAGUCAACAUCAGUUUCUUUUGUUGUAAAAAGAGUCAUUGGAAGGUGGCUUUCACUUUCGGAUGAAAGUGUUUAUAGCCUUUGGACUUCCUGCAAUCGGAGAGAUUGAGGUCUGCAAGCGUAGAUCCUUCGGGGUUAGAUACAUUUGUGCUAAGUUAUAGCCUUUUCAUAGACAACUUGUUGACUAUGAUCAGUCAUUGUAGCUUACUCGCUUAUGCUAUUUUACCUACGCUUAGGAUGUUGACGAUCAGCUGAGCGCG